GCGGUCGUGGUGGAAUUGGUAGACACGCUGUCUUGAGGGGGCAGUGCCGAAAGGCGUGAGAGUUCGAGUCUCUCCGACCGCACCA
RNAcentral lists this transfer RNA (85 nucleotides) under Lysobacter sp. RNAcentral's name for it is "tRNA-Leu". It matches the Rfam family "tRNA". From Rfam's summary of the family: Transfer RNA (tRNA) molecules are approximately 80 nucleotides in length. Their secondary structure includes four short double-helical elements and three loops (D, anti-codon, and T loops). RNAcentral also lists the same sequence under 3 other names. Lineage: Bacteria; Pseudomonadati; Pseudomonadota; Gammaproteobacteria; Lysobacterales; Lysobacteraceae. The record is from RNAcentral.